AUUGAACGCUGGCGGCAUGCCUUACACAUGCAAGUCGAACGGUAACGCGGGGCAGCCUGGCGACGAGUGGCGAACGGGUGAGUAAUGCAUCGGAACGUGCCCAGUAGUGGGGGAUAGCCCGGCGAAAGCCGGAUUAAUACCGCAUACGACCUACGGGUGAAAGGGGGGGAUCGCAAGACCUCUCGCUAUUGGAGCGGCCGAUGUCAGAUUAGCUAGUUGGUGGGGUAAAAGCCUACCAAGGCGACGAUCUGUAGCUGGUCUGAGAGGACGACCAGCCACACUGGGACUGAGACACGGCCCAGACUCCUACGGGAGGCAGCAGUGGGGAAUUUUGGACAAUGGGCGAAAGCCUGAUCCAGCCAUGCCGCGUGCGGGAAGAAGGCCUUCGGGUUGUAAACCGCUUUUGUCAGGGAAGAAAUCUUCUGAGUUAAUACCUCGGGAGGAUGACGGUACCUGAAGAAUAAACACCGGCUAACUACGUGCCAGCAGCCGCCGUAA
RNAcentral lists this ribosomal RNA (498 nucleotides) under uncultured bacterium. RNAcentral's name for it is "partial 16S ribosomal RNA". It matches the Rfam family "Bacterial small subunit ribosomal RNA", at positions 29 to 523 of the family's 1533-position model. The record is from RNAcentral.